Molecule: ribosomal RNA, 514 nt
Filed under: uncultured bacterium
Lineage: Bacteria
Description: partial 16S ribosomal RNA
Rfam family: Bacterial small subunit ribosomal RNA
Source: RNAcentral
GACGAACGCUGGCGGCGUACCUAAUACAUGCAAGUCGAGCGGACGAAUCGAAAGCUUGCUUUUGAUUCGUUAGCAGCGGACGGGUGAGUAACACGUGGGCAACCUGCCCUGUAGACGGGGAUAACACCGAGAAAUCGGUGCUAAUACCGGAUAACACGAAAUGUCGCAUGACGUUUCGUUGAAAGACGGCGCAAGCUGUCGCUACAGGAUGGGCCCGCGGCGCAUUAGCUAGUUGGUGCGGUAACGGGUCACCAAGGCGACGAUGCGUAGCCGACCUGAGAGGGUGAUCGGCCAAACUGGGACUGAGACACGGCCCAGAAUGAUACGGGAGGAAGCAGUAGGGAGUCUUCCGCAAUGGACGAAAGUCUGACGAAGCAACGCCGCGUGAGCGAAGAAGGCCUUCGGGUCGUAAAGCUCUGUUGUUAGGGAAGAACAAGUAACGCAGUAACUGGCGUUACCGUGACGGUACCUAACGAGAAAGCCACGGCUAACUACGUGCCAGCCGCCGCAGUAA